UCGGGAACAGUCUAUAAUAAACGGUAUCACUCAAGUUUUUCCAGAGGCACAUCACGGGUAUUGCAUGUACCAUAUACAAGGUAAUUUGAAGAUUAGGUAUCGGGGCAAAGGCAUCGUUUCAUUGUUCAGGAGAGCAAUCGAAGCUUACAGUGCUGAAGAGUGUAAUAAGUUCAUGUUCGAGAUAGAAAGUAAAUCAUUAUCGAUGUUGGAGUAUCUAAC
RNAcentral lists this long non-coding RNA (219 nucleotides) under Olea europaea (common olive). RNAcentral's name for it is "long non-coding RNA (OEUR_LNC008402)". Lineage: Eukaryota; Viridiplantae; Streptophyta; Magnoliopsida; Lamiales; Oleaceae. The record is from RNAcentral.